Molecule: ribosomal RNA, 305 nt
Filed under: uncultured bacterium
Lineage: Bacteria
Description: bacterial SSU rRNA
Rfam family: Bacterial small subunit ribosomal RNA
Source: RNAcentral
GCCACGGGGCGCAGCAGUGGGGGAUAUUGCACAAUGGAGGGAACUCUGAUGCAGCGACGCCGCGUGAGGGAAGAAGGUUUUCGGAUUGUAAACCUCUGUCAGGAGGGAAGAAAGCGUAUGGCGCCAAUCAGCCAUGCGUUGACGGUACCUCCAAAGGAAGCGCCGGCUAACUCCGUGCCAGCAGCCGCGGUAAUACGGAGGGCGCGAGCGUUAAUCGGAAUUACUGGGCGUAAAGCGCGCGUAGGCUGUUGUGUAAGUUGGGGGUGAAAUCCCACGGCUCAACCGUGGAACAGCCCUUGAUACUU